AAUAUUUCUAUUCAACUCUGCAAAACUGACAGAGAUAUUCCAGACUGCGCGUGAGACCAGAUGAUGUGAAACUUUCAACCAUUAAACCCCUGUUCAGCUGUAGUCCAGAAGCAGGCAGCCCACAGCAGCCUGGGGAUGCUGAUGGAAGAAGCCGAAAUGUUUUCAGCCAAACCGAUUUCUUGCCGGCAGCUUCGGAUGCUGUAGCUGGAACCAGAGCAGCCCACAGAGAGAAGUAAACAAUUAAAACAUUUACAUGUUUGCUUCGUGAUAGACAUCUCUACGAGGACUGUGUCUCAGCCUGUGGUCCAUCAGGCAGCAGAAAAUAUUUUCAGAUGAAUUACGUGUGCAUCAAAUGAGCAUGCUUUCUCACUCAGGCCAGAUUCUAUGGAGCCUGGGUGACUUCAGAAGCAGAAACUUAUUAGAAGAAAUCUUUGCCAUUAUAUGUAUAGUAAGUUCACCUCCCAUGUCUACUUGUGCUCCAUACAGUGCUGGGCUGCAUGGGAGGAAUGGGUGCAUGUGGUUUGAUCUCAUUUUGCUCACCAUGGAAAGGGACAGCUGCAGCAAGCUGCAUGCUUUCUGAGGUAUCAGCUGCCAGAUAGCCUGUAACACCUCAGCCAGAGGCGCAGGAAUCUCUUCUUAAGUGCAAGCUGACCUGAGGCCAUACCUACACAUGCAGAUCCUUUGGACUCCACACCUGUAGUGUGGCGUCCAUGAAGCAGCAGCAGCAAAGCAAUUACCACAGAGCUGGCUGUGAUUAAGCCAUCAGGGCUCAUACCUCUCUGGCAUAGCUGGCAUGCCUGUCUGGCAUAGGUGGCAUAGCUGGAGCUGGUAAGAUGUUUGCCUUGCAGUACCCAGAAAGCUGGAUACCUCUUGGAGUGGUUCUGACGCACAAAUUGGAGACAUUGGUCUCCUGCCAGACUGGGCAGAAAUAACACAGCAAGAUGCCUCAGAAGCAAAGAAGUUGUUCAGGACUUCCUCUUCCCUCAGCAGGAGCAAACCUGAAAGGCAUAGAGGGGCAGGCCAGUGAACCAAGCUUGGCUGAAGACCUCUCAUCACUGACACUACCAUGCUCCCAUCUUGGGCUGCUGGAGAGUGGUGUGUCCUUCAUAACUCACUGUACCCUCAUGGUCGUAGCUCAUCUUCUGGUGCCUGGCUGAGCACAGAGAGCCAGUUAUGCUUCAGGACCUCAGUGUAAGAUGUCAUCACAACAAGCAAUUGGAAAGGCCAAGGAAGGCUGAAAUCUGUGGCUGUGAAGAUGGGGGUGGCUGUUUCACUAUGAGAUACGGAGGAAAUAUUUCUCCUACACCUACCGCAGCCAGACUGCAGAUGUUGAGUUGAGUGACAAGGAAAUGGGAGCCUGGGAUGUCUCAGCACAAGCUUCCCUAAGCCUUGACUUGAUGGGUGAGCACCUGAACACAGCCAGAGCCUGUUACAUUAAAGGCUUUAUAAAAGCAACAGUGCCAAGCCAACAUCCACCUCCCACGUUACCGGCAGCCCCAGCAGGUGUAACGCGAUCCGGCAGCCGCAGCUAGCAGAUAAACAAACGGCCUUUCUGCACAGGUUGUGCCAGAGAGCCUCUC
Phasianus colchicus (ring-necked pheasant) is the source of this 1580-nucleotide long non-coding RNA. Lineage: Eukaryota; Metazoa; Chordata; Aves; Galliformes; Phasianidae. The record is from Ensembl.